This 255-nucleotide ribosomal RNA is filed under the name uncultured bacterium. RNAcentral's name for it is "partial 16S ribosomal RNA". It matches the Rfam family "Bacterial small subunit ribosomal RNA", at positions 524 to 776 of the family's 1533-position model. The record is from RNAcentral.
UACGUAGGUGACCAGCGUUGUCCGGAUUUACUGGGCGUAAAGAGCGCGCAGGCGGUCGUUCAAGUCGCGUGUGAAAGCCCCCGGCUCAACUGGGGAGGGUCACGCGAUACUGAUCGACUCGAAGGCAGGAGAGGGUAGUGGAAUUCCCGGUGUAGUGGUGAAAUGCGUAGAUAUCUGGAGGAACACCGGUGGCGAAGGCGACAUCCUGGACCGGUAUUGACGCUGAGGCGCGAAAAGCCAGGGGGAGCAAACGGG